This 253-nucleotide ribosomal RNA is filed under the name uncultured bacterium. RNAcentral describes it as "partial 16S ribosomal RNA". It matches the Rfam family "Bacterial small subunit ribosomal RNA", at positions 524 to 776 of the family's 1533-position model. The record is from RNAcentral.
GACGAAGGGGGCUAGCGUUGUUCGGAAUUACUGGGCGUAAAGGGCUCGUAGGUGGCCAACUAAGUCAGACGUGAAAUCCCUCGGCUUAACCGGGGAACUGCGUCUGAUACUGGAUGGCUUGAGUUCGGGAGAGGGAUGCGGAAUUCCAGGUGUAGCGGUGAAAUGCGUAGAUAUCUGGAGGAACACCGGUGGCGAAGGCGGCAUCCUGGACCGACACUGACGCUGAGGAGCGAAAGCCAGGGGAGCAAACGGG